Molecule: ribosomal RNA, 325 nt
Filed under: Microspalax brevipes
Lineage: Eukaryota; Metazoa; Arthropoda; Arachnida; Sarcoptiformes; Alloptidae
Description: partial 12S small subunit ribosomal RNA
Source: RNAcentral
UUUUUAUUAAACUUAAUUUUAUUGGCGGUUUAUCAUACUUUCACAGGAAUUUGUUAAAUUUGAUUGAUACCCCGCUUUUAUUAUUACUUUUGUUUUUUUUUUAUGUACGGCUGUUUUUAUUUUAAUUUGGAUUUUUUUAUUAUAAAGUUAUUUUUUUAUUUCAGGUCAAUGUGUAGAAUAUACAUUAGUUUUUAAUGAGUUACUUUAAUAGGAUAGUUGUUUUAUUUUUUUUUGAAAUUGGAUGUGUUAGUAAAACUUUUUAAUAAAAUUUGGUUUUGAUGAAGUAAUUGAUUGAAGUACAUAUCGCCCGUCACUCUUUUGAUAG